This 1130-nucleotide long non-coding RNA is filed under the name Volvox carteri. Its description in RNAcentral is "long non-coding RNA (VCAR_LNC002325)". Lineage: Eukaryota; Viridiplantae; Chlorophyta; Chlorophyceae; Chlamydomonadales; Volvocaceae. The record is from RNAcentral.
GCCAAGAGACUGCUGAUGCUUUGCUGAUUGGGGAUUGCUCUGCUUUUGCUUUCUAGUAGUAGUGGUCUUAGUAGUCUUUGUAGUAGUCUUAGUAGUCUUUGUAGUAGUCUUAGUAGUCUUAGUAGUAGUCUUAGUAGUAGUCUUAGUCUUAGUAGUAGUCUUAGUCUUAGUAGUAGUCUUAGUCUUAGUAGUUUUAGUCUUAGUAGUUUUAGUCUAGUAGUAGUCUUAGUCUUAGUAGUAGUCUUAGUCUUAGUAGUAGUCUUAGUCUUAGUCUUAGUCUUAGUCUUAGUCUUAGUAGUUGUCUUAGCAGUAGUCCUAGUCUUAGUAGUCUUAGUCUUAGUAGUAGUAGUCUUAGUCUUAGUCUUCUUAGUUUUAGUCUUAGUAGUUUUAGUCUUAGUAGUAGUCUUAGUCUUAGUAGUCUUAGUCUUAGUAGUCUUAGUCUUAGUAGUCUUAGUCUUAGUAGUUGUCUUAGCAGUAGUCUUAGUCUUAGUAGUAGUAGUCUUAGUAGUAGUAGUCUUAGUAGUCUUAGUAGUAGUCUUAGUCUUAGUAGUAGUCUUAGUCUUAGUAGUAGUAGUCUUAGUAGUAGUAGUCUUAGUAGUCUUAGUAGUCUUAGUAGUAGUCUUAGUCUUAGUAGUAGUCUUAGUCUUAGUAGUAGUCUUAGUCUUAGUAGUAGUCUUAGUCUUAGUAGUUUUAGUCUUAGUAGUCUUAGUCUUAGUAGUAGUCUUAGUCUUAGUAGUAGUCUUAGUCUUAGUCUUAGUCUUAGUCUUAGUAGUUGUCUUAGCAGUAGUCCUAGUCUUAGUAGUCUUAGUCUUAGUAGUAGUAGUCUUAGUCUUAGUCUUCUUAGUUUUAGUCUUAGUAGUUUUAGUCUUAGUAGUAGUCUUAGUCUUAGUAGUCUUAGUCUUAGUAGUCUUAGUCUUAGUAGUCUUAGUCUUAGUAGUUGUCUUAGCAGUAGUCUUAGUCUUAGUAGUAGUAGUCUUAGUAGUAGUAGUCUUAGUAGUCUUAGUAGUAGUCUUAGUCUUAGUAGUAGUCUUAGUCUUAGUAGUAGUAGUCUUAGUAGUAGUAGUCUUAGUAGUCUUAGUAGUCUUAGUAGUAGUCUUAGUCUUAGUAGUAGUCUUAGCAGUAGUCUUAGU